This 359-nucleotide RNase P RNA is filed under the name Chloroflexota bacterium. Its description in RNAcentral is "Chloroflexi bacterium (soil metagenome) RNase P RNA component class A". It matches the Rfam family "Bacterial RNase P class A". From Rfam's summary of the family: Ribonuclease P (RNase P) is a ubiquitous endoribonuclease, found in archaea, bacteria and eukarya as well as chloroplasts and mitochondria. Its best characterised activity is the generation of mature 5'-ends of tRNAs by cleaving the 5'-leader elements of precursor-tRNAs. Cellular RNase Ps are ribonucleoproteins. Lineage: Bacteria; Bacillati; Chloroflexota. The record is from RNAcentral.
CGAGGCGUCCGGGCGGUCGCGUGCCUCAGCGGGGAAACCCGCGACAGGCACGAGGAAAGUCCGAGCUCCACGACGCAGGGUAGCGGGUAACACCCGUCCGCCGCGAGGCGAGGACCAGUGCCACAGAGACGAGCCGGUCGGGGCGGCUUCGCCGAUCCGCCCGGGUGAAACGGGCAAACUCUACCCGGAGCAAGGCCAAAUAGGAGGGCGCAACCGGGGCUUCGGCCUCGGGGUAGGUGCGUCGCCGAGCCCUCGGGUCGGCCGCUCGAGGCGGCGGGCAACCGCCGUCCCAGAUGGAUGACCGUCGUCACGCCGAUCAUGGCGCGGCACAGAACUCGGCUUACAGGGCGCCUCGCUGG